GAUGAACGCUGGCGGCGUGCCUAAUACAUGCAAGUCGAGCGAACAGAUAAGGAGCUUGCUCCUUUGAAGUUAGCGGCGGACGGGUGAGUAACACGUGGGUAACCUACCUAUAAGACUGGGAUAACUUCGGGAAACCGGAGCUAAUACCGGAUAACAUUUAGAACCGCAUGGUUCUAAAGUGAAAGAUGGUUUUGCUAUCACUUAUAGAUGGACCCGCGCCGUAUUAGCUAGUUGGUAAGGUAACGGCUUACCAAGGCGACGAUACGUAGCCGACCUGAGAGGGUGAUCGGCCACACUGGAACUGAGACACGGUCCAGACUCCUACGGGAGGCAGCAGUAGGGAAUCUUCCGCAAUGGGCGAAAGCCUGACGGAGCAACGCCGCGUGAGUGAUGAAGGGUUUCGGCUCGUAAAACUCUGUUAUUAGGAAAGAACAAAUGUGUAAGUAACUGUGCACAUCUUGACGGUACCUAAUCAGAAAGCCACGGCUAACUACGUG
This 497-nucleotide ribosomal RNA is filed under the name uncultured bacterium. Its description in RNAcentral is "partial 16S ribosomal RNA". It matches the Rfam family "Bacterial small subunit ribosomal RNA", at positions 28 to 507 of the family's 1533-position model. The record is from RNAcentral.